RNAcentral lists this ribosomal RNA (616 nucleotides) under uncultured bacterium. Its description in RNAcentral is "bacterial SSU rRNA". It matches the Rfam family "Bacterial small subunit ribosomal RNA", at positions 9 to 598 of the family's 1533-position model. The record is from RNAcentral.
GAGUUUGAUCCUGGCUCAGGACGAACGCUGGCGGCGUGCCUAAUACAUGCAAGUCGAACGGUCUUUUCUAUGGAAGCUUGCUUCCACUGARAAGAUAGUGGCGAACGGGUGAGUAACACGUGGGUAACCUGCCCAUAAGAGGGGGAUAACAUCCGGAAACGGGUGCUAAUACCGCAUAGUUUUUCUGAUCGCAUGAUCGGGAAAGGAAGGACGGCCUUUGUGCUGUCGCUUAUGGAUGGACCCGCGGCGUAUUAGUUAGUUGGUGAGGUAAUGGCUCACCAAGACGAUGAUACGUAGCCGACCUGAGAGGGUGAUCGGCCACAUUGGGACUGAGACACGGCCCAAACUCCUACGGGAGGCAGCAGUAGGGAAUCUUCCGCAAUGGACGAAAGUCUGACGGAGCAACGCCGCGUGAGUGAAGAAGGUUUUCGGAUCGUAAAACUCUGUUGUCAGAGAAGAACAAGUCGGAGAGUAACUGCUCCGGCCUUGACGGUAUCUGACCAGAAAGCCACGGCUAACUACGUGCCAGCAGCCGCGGUAAUACGUAGGUGGCAAGCGUUGUCCGGAUUUAUUGGGCGUAAAGCGAGCGCAGGCGGUUCCUUAAGUCUGAUGUGCA